CUUUCUAAGUUGCAUAAGGACAAACCCCCGGUUUCCUUGUCACGGCAACUCUCUCCUGUCAGUCUUCUCCUAUUCCCCUUACUGCUCCUAUUUGCGUAACGGACCAGAUGUAGUGCUGUCGAAACUCACUCCUUCACUCGGCCGUGAAGAAGGAAUAUCCCACCACUACAGCCUGCGGUAGGUUACCUUCAAGACAAUGUGGUGUUUGGGUCGACUCUCAGUAUUGUCACCACUCGAAGUCCAGCAUUGAGUAUGGUUCCCUGGAUUUGGCACAGGGAGCGUGAAAGACCCGUACGAAAGUAGAUUCAGGCAUGUGAGAGAAUUAACCAGGUCGGUAUUCGAGUCAGGUUGUUUGGGAAUGCAGCUCAAAGUGGGCGGUAAAAUCCAUCUUAGGCUUAAUACAAGCAAAAGUCCAAUAGCGAACAAGAACAAGGAUUGUCACCACUCGAAGUCCAGUUAAAAAGUACUUUCAAAAGAGAGAGGGAGUUAGCAGUACGUGAAACUGCUUAUAGGUAAACGAGUGGCGUCAAGCUGCAUGCCUAGAUGAUUCACUUGUUUGGUGUGUAUGCGUGUCUGGUGCGUCUGUGGGACGGACAGUCCGCUGUGAGAAGGUGGGCCUGGCCGUUUGGUAAACGGAACUGGCGCUGUGGAAUAAACCAAACGCCCGGUUAAGGUGCCUAACGCUGACGCUCAUGAGAUACCACAAAAAUUGUUGUUUAAUAUAGACAGCAGGACGGUGGCCAUGGAAGUCGGCAUCCACUUAAGAGUGUGUAACAACUCACCUGCCAAAUUGAUCAGCCCUGAAAUGGAUGGUGCUGGAGCGUCGGACAUAUACCGGGCCGUCAUCGCAAGCUGGAUCACUGGCUAUGCUUGGUGGUGUGAGCAGCACAUGGCUGGUUGCGUGAACAAAAAUCGGUCGCUGUCUUGCGAAGUCAUGAUCCAGUAAAGGAAGCGGUUGCGAGCAGGAGGGUCGCCGUGGUGAGCGUGGAAACCUUGGACGUGAAUAUAAGUGCAGCCACCAUGGGUGAAGAUCUGGGUGGUAGUAGCAAAUAUUCAAGUGAGAAACUUGAAGGCCGAGGUGGAGAAGGGUUCCAUGGGAACAGCAGUUUGCCAUGGGUCAGACAGUCCUAAGCGAUCCGGUGUCUCGGUACAGAGACGCGGGGUGCCUUGCAUACUUCUGUGUGUGUGCGUGUGCGCGCCUGCAACUGGCAGCCACCCGGAGCGAAAGGCAAUCGGGUUAAUAUUUCCGACCCUACCCACGGAGAUAGACAAGCGUUUGGCUGGGCCGUCAGUGUGUGCAAAUUUUUUGGUGUAUGCAGCUGUGGUCCGUGUCUGGGCGUUGCUAAGCGCGAUAACUCAAGCAAACUCGGAGACAUCGGCUUCAGUUCCGGGAAGAAUUUUUUUUUCUUUGUAAGGAGUGCCCACCACCCCUGGAAUUGGGUGUUCCGGAGAUAUGGAAUAUCGCCUGCGUAAAGCACCACCCCUCUUGUGGUGUCCAGAACACUCUGGUCAGUCCUUGAAAAACCGAGGGAGGCAUUAUGAUUUUCGUGACAGGCCGUACCCAUUUCCGCAUCACGUUACUAAUGUAAACAGCCUUUGGCAAUAGAAUAAUGUAGUUAAGUUAAGUUGGCAUCUUCGAUCCGUAACCUCGGAAAAAGGAUUGGCUCUGAGGGCCGAGUCCGACACGCUGGGCAAAGAAACGUGUCCGCUCAGCCUGCGGCUGGCUAGUUGGCUAGGUUGACUGUGGCUGCAACUGCCGCUGCUGCUGCUGCUACUGCUGCUGUUGGGU
Molecule: non-coding RNA, 1789 nt
Organism: Schistocephalus solidus
Lineage: Eukaryota; Metazoa; Platyhelminthes; Cestoda; Diphyllobothriidea; Diphyllobothriidae
Source: Rfam